UCCCAGACUCCUACGGGAGGCAGCAGUGGGGAAUAUUGCACAAUGGGGGGAACCCUGAUGCAGCGACGCCGCGUGGGUGAAGGAGCACCUCGGUGCGUAAAGCCCUAUCGGCAGGGAAGAAACAGACGGUACCUGACUAAGAAGCCCCGGCUAACUACGUGCCAGCAGCCGCGGUAAUACGUAGGGGGCAAGCGUUAUCCGGAUUCACUGGGUGUAAAGGGAGCGUAGACGGCGACGCAAGUCUGGAGUGAAAGCCCGGGGCCCAACCCCGGGACUGCUCUGGAAACUGCCCGGCUAGAGUGCUGGAGAGGUAAGCGGAAUUCCUAGUGUAGCGGUGAAAUGCGUAGAUAUUAGGAGGAACACCAGUGGCGAAGGCGGCUUACUGGACAGUAACUGACGUUGAGGCUCGAAAGCGUGGGGAGCAAACAGGAUUAGAUACCCGAGUAUA
RNAcentral lists this ribosomal RNA (448 nucleotides) under uncultured bacterium. RNAcentral describes it as "bacterial SSU rRNA". It matches the Rfam family "Bacterial small subunit ribosomal RNA", at positions 329 to 794 of the family's 1533-position model. The record is from RNAcentral.